GGCCUAACACAUGCAAGUCGAGCGGCAGCGCGGGGGCAACCCUGGCGGCGAGCGGCGAACGGGUGAGUAAUGCAUCGGAACGUGUCCUCUUGUGGGGGAUAACCAGUCGAAAGACUGGCUAAUACCGCAUGAGCUCGAGAGAGGAAAGCAGGGGAUCCGCAAGGACCUUGCGCGAGAGGAGCGGCCGAUGCCCGAUUAGCUAGUUGGUGGGGUAACGGCCUACCAAGGCGACGAUCGGUAGCUGGUCUGAGAGGACGACCAGCCACACUGGGACUGAGACACGGCCCAGACUCCUACGGGAGGCAGCAGUGGGGAAUUUUGGACAAUGGGGGCAACCCUGAUCCAGCCAUGCCGCGUGUGUGAAGAAGGCCUUCGGGUUGUAAAGCACUUUCGGCCGGAACGAAAUCGCGCGAGUUAACACCCCGCGUGGAUGACGGUACCGGAAGAGGA
Molecule: ribosomal RNA, 450 nt
Filed under: uncultured bacterium
Lineage: Bacteria
Description: bacterial SSU rRNA
Rfam family: Bacterial small subunit ribosomal RNA
Source: RNAcentral